AGUGAACGCUGGCGGCAAGCCUAACACAUGCAAGUCGAACGGCAGCACAAGAGAGCUUGCUCUCUGGGUGGCGAGUGGCGGACGGGUGAGGAAUGCAUCGGAAUCUGCCCAUUUGUGGGGGAUAACCUCGGGAAACCGGGACUAAUACCGCAUACGACCUACGGGUGAAAGCAGGGGAUCUUCGGACCUUGCGCAGAUGGAUGAGCCGAUGCCGGAUUAGCUAGUUGGAGGGGUAAAGGCCCACCAAGGCGACGAUCCGUAGCUGGUCUGAGAGGAUGAUCAGCCACACUGGGACUGAGACACGGCCCAGACUCCUACGGGAGGCAGCAGUGGGGAAUAUUGGACAAUGGGCGCAAGCCUGAUCCAGCCAUGCCGCGUGUGUGAAGAAGGCCUUCGGGUUGUAAAGCACUUUUGUUGGGAAAGAAAAGCAGCCGGUUAAUACCCGGUUGUCAUGACGGUACCCAAAGAAUAAGCACCGGCUAACUUCGUG
This 490-nucleotide ribosomal RNA is filed under the name uncultured bacterium. RNAcentral describes it as "partial 16S ribosomal RNA". It matches the Rfam family "Bacterial small subunit ribosomal RNA", at positions 29 to 507 of the family's 1533-position model. The record is from RNAcentral.